RNAcentral lists this ribosomal RNA (1491 nucleotides) under metagenome. RNAcentral's name for it is "bacterial SSU rRNA". It matches the Rfam family "Bacterial small subunit ribosomal RNA". The record is from RNAcentral.
AGGGUUUGAUCCUGGCUCAGAAUGAACGUUGGCGGCGUGGAUUAGGCAUGCAAGUCGCGCGACAAGCUUCCCUUCGGGGAAGUGGAGGAGCGGCGCAAGGGAGAGUAACACGUGAAUUACCUGCCCCCGGGUUCGGGAUAGUUGCGGGAAACUGCAAGUAAUACCGGAUAACAUCUUCGGAUCAAAGGUGAGAUUCCGCCUGGGGAUGGAUUCGCGUCCUAUUAGCUUGUUGGUAGGGUAACGGCCUACCAAGGCAUUGAUGGGUAGCGGGUGUGAGAGCAUGACCCGCCUCACUGGGACUAAGACACUGCCCAGACACCUACGGGUGGCUGCAGUCGAGAAUCUUCCGCAAUGGGCGAAAGCCUGACGGAGCAACGCCGCGUGUGGGAUGAAGGCCUUCGGGUUGUAAACCGCUGUCGGAGGGGAUGAAAUGCCAGAGGGCACUCUCUCUGGUUUGACAUAUCCUCGGAGGAAGGACGGGCUAAGUUCGUGCCAGCAGCCGCGGUAAGACGAACCGUCCAAACGUUAUUCGGAAUCAUUGGGCUUAAAGGGUGCGUAGGCGGCGCGGCAAGUCGGAUGUGAAAUCCCUCGGCUUAACCGAGGAACUGCGUUCGAAACUGCCGUGCUUGAGGGAGACAGAGGUGAGCGGAACUCAGGGUGGAGCGGUGAAAUGCGUUGAUAUCCUGAGGAACACCGGUGGCGAAGGCGGCUCACUGGGUCUCUUCUGACGCUGAGGCACGAAAGCUAGGGGAGCGAACGGGAUUAGAUACCCCGGUAGUCCUAGCUGUAAACGAUGAGAACUUGGUUGGAGGGUCCUCCAUAGCCUUCCGGCCGUAGCGAAAGUGUUAAGUUCUCCGCCUGGGGAGUAUGUCCGCAAGGAUGAAACUCAAAGGAAUUGACGGGGGCUCACACAAGCGGUGGAGGAUGUGGCUUAAUUCGAGCCUACGCGUAGAACCUUAUCCUGGUCUUGACAUGCAUGGAUUAACUCUGUGAAAGCAGAGCGACGCCUUCGGGUGGAACAUGCACAGGUGCUGCAUGGCUGUCGUCAGCUCGUGUCGUGAGAUGUCGGGUUAAGUCCCUUAACGAGCGAAACCCUUAUUCCUAGUUGCCAGCGAGUAAUGUCGGGGACUCUAGGGAGACUGCCGGUGUUAAACCGGAGGAAGGUGGGGAUGACGUCAAGUCCUCAUGGCCUUUAUGACCAGGGCCGCACACGUCCUACAAUGGCACGCACAGAGGGACGCGAACUCGCGAGAGUAAGCAAAUCCCAAAAAAUGUGCCCCAGUUCGGAUUGCAGGCUGCAACUCGCCUGCAUGAAGCCGGAAUCACUAGUAAUCGCGGAUCAGCAUGCCGCGGUGAAUGUGUUCCUGAGCCUUGUACACACCGCCCGUCAAGCCACGAAAGUGGGGGGCAUCCGAAGUCGCCGAGCUAACCCGCAAGGGAGGCAGGUGCCGAAGGUGAACUCCGCGAUUGGGACUAAGUCGUAACAAGGUA